This 468-nucleotide ribosomal RNA is filed under the name uncultured bacterium. RNAcentral's name for it is "partial 16S ribosomal RNA". It matches the Rfam family "Bacterial small subunit ribosomal RNA", at positions 28 to 507 of the family's 1533-position model. The record is from RNAcentral.
GACGAACGCUGGCGGCGUGCUUAACACAUGCAAGUCGAACGGAAAGGCCCUGCUUUUGUGGGGUGCUCGAGUGGCGAACGGGUGAGUAACACGUGAGUAACCUGCCCUUGACUUUGGGAUAACUUCAGGAAACUGGGGCUAAUACCGGAUAGGAGCUCCUGCUGCAUGGUGGGGGUUGGAAAGUUUCGGCGGUUGGGGAUGGACUCGCGGCUUAUCAGCUUGUUGGUGGGGUAGUGGCUUACCAAGGCUUUGACGGGUAGCCGGCCUGAGAGGGUGACCGGCCACAUGGGGACUGAGAUACGGCCCAGACUCCUACGGGAGGCAGCAGUGGGGAAUAUUGCAGAAUGGGCGGAAGCCUGAUGCAGCAACGCCGCGUGCGGGAUGACGGCCUUCGGGUUGUAAACCGCUUUCGCCUGUGACGAAGCGUGAGUGACGGUAAUGGGUAAAGAAGCACCGGCUAACUACGUG